RNA transcript from Mirounga angustirostris (Northern elephant seal), 3823 nucleotides. It is a transcript of the gene named ribonucleotide reductase regulatory subunit M2, with no coding region annotated. The transcript has 12 exons. Lineage: Eukaryota; Metazoa; Chordata; Mammalia; Carnivora; Phocidae. The record is from RefSeq and is a predicted model, not a curated record.
CCCGCUGUGCGCGCCCCUCCGCGGUGGGCUUUUAAAGGCCGGCGGGGCGGCGCGGGGGCUCCCAGGACCUGCGCGCCGCCUCGCCUGCCGUGAGCCCUCGCCGCCGCCAUGCUCUCCGUCCGCGUCCCGCUCGCCACCAUCGUGGACCCCCAGCAGCAGCAGCAGCUCCAGCUGUCGCCCCUCAAGGGGCUCAGCCUGGCGGACAAGGAGAACACGCCCCCGAGUCUCAGCGGGACCCGCGUGCUGGCCAGCAAGACCGCCAGGAGGAUCUUCCAGGAGCCCGCCGAGCCGAAAACUAAGGUGCUUGGCCCCAGCGUGGAGGACGAGCCACUACUGAGAGAAAACCCUCGUCGCUUUGUCAUCUUCCCUAUCGAAUACCAUGAUAUUUGGCAGAUGUAUAAGAAAGCUGAGGCUUCCUUUUGGACAGCUGAAGAGGUGGAUCUUUCCAAGGACAUUCAGCACUGGGAAUCCCUGAAGCCUGAGGAGAGAUACUUUAUAUCCCACGUUCUGGCUUUCUUUGCGGCGAGUGAUGGCAUAGUAAAUGAAAACUUGGUGGAGCGGUUUAGCCAAGAAGUUCAGAUUACAGAAGCCCGCUGUUUCUAUGGCUUCCAAAUUGCCAUGGAAAACAUCCAUUCUGAGAUGUACAGUCUCCUCAUUGACACUUACAUUAAAGAUUCCAAAGAAAGGGAAUUUCUCUUCAACGCCAUCGAGACAAUGCCUUGCGUAAAGAAGAAGGCAGAUUGGGCCUUGCGUUGGAUUGGGGACAAAGAGGCUACCUACGGAGAACGGGUUGUGGCUUUUGCUGCUGUGGAAGGAAUCUUCUUUUCUGGCUCUUUUGCGUCAAUAUUCUGGCUCAAGAAACGCGGCCUGAUGCCUGGCCUCACGUUUUCCAAUGAACUUAUUAGCAGAGAUGAGGGUUUACACUGUGACUUUGCCUGCCUGAUGUUCAAGCACCUGGUCCACAAACCUUCCGAGCAGAGAGUGAGGGAAAUAAUUAUUAAUGCCGUUCGGAUAGAGCAGGAGUUCCUCACGGAGGCCUUGCCUGUGAAGCUCAUUGGGAUGAAUUGCAUGUUAAUGAAGCAGUAUAUUGAGUUCGUGGCAGACCGACUUAUGCUGGAGCUAGGUUUUGGCAAGGGGCCAGGAAGACAACAAAGCACAAAGCAGAUGAAGCCCAGGCCCUCGUGGAGAUUGUGCACUGACGGGGGACGUGGGAAACCAGCCAACUAACUGAUGUGUGGUCCGGUAUCAGUUGGCAUGUACCAGUGGAAGCCGGAGCCUUGCUCGGAGGCUGUCACAGCUGUCCAGAGCCUUCUGGAGACUGUCCCAUAACCCUGAGCUGCAGGCCUUCCGGGCCCAGGACCCUAACCAAAGGCGGAAUCCUCAGGGCAUACUGGCUCUUCCUUCCACCCGUGUCCCUGGCUCUGGGCCGGGCUGUGCUCCCUUCCGAGGACUCAGAGAAGCCAGGCAUCUCCUUGGGUGCUCCCAAGGUCCAAGACGAGGUCUUGUGUCUACUUGCUAAUGCACAGUUUAUUCCUCUUCCAAUUUUCUCUGGGACCUGUGCUUGUCCACAUGUUUCCGUGGUGUGGUGGGAAGUGAGUCUUAUGGGGCUAAUGGCUGCAUGCCAUUUGGCUUCGCUGUGCUUCUGGAGAUUCGGGGGGCUUAGAGCUGGGGCUCCAGCUGCGCACGGCUGCCUGCCUUCUUGCGGCAUUUAGCUUUUGAGCCCGGCGCCUUCCUUGGCCCCAAACAUGUGAGUGACCUCAUGACUCUGGCCCUUCAGUGAUCCCCGACAAACUCUUCCAGCACGUAGGUGGAAUUCCUAUUUUUAAUAGCCAAGUUGUUGAGAAGUUGUAGGGCUUCUACUUCCUUUUGAACAGAAGGCUUCCAGAAAUAUUUAUACCUUAGCUUCUCCAAAAUCUAGGAAGUUAUCCCGGCCCAGAGGAGGUCAGCAGGUGGCGUGUGGCGUGGGAUCACCUAGGAGACGGCCCCAGUGACAUCACGCUCGGCUCACUCGGUCAGGCUGUCCAGUCCUCUCUGUCAGCUGAGCGCCGAGGGGGCGCGCCUGGCCCUGCUCUCUCCUGGGUGUGUGUGUGGGGGUGAGGGUGGACAGGAACCAGGUCUUGGGGGCUUUCAGUGUCAUGCUGAGGGAUCUGAACUCUGUCCCUGAGGCCGCAGUGAGUUUUAGCGGAGGAGUAAGCAGAUCAGAUGUGCAUUUCCAAGAGGCUGGAGGGAGUGGAUUAGAGCUGCGUUCUGUCAAGUCUUUCAUUUUGCAGAGGCCCGUGUACAACCUCCCAGGAUGCCAGGACGCAGUCACUCCAGCCAUGUGCAAUGCAUUCCAGCGUUUUCUAUUCUACUCUGUUUCAUUUGUUUUUCUAAAAAUACUGUUUGCAACCGUCUGCAUUGAUUUCCUGUCUCCCUGAACGUUUUUGAUCUGCAGUUUGAACAGCGCCGGGUUGGAGGGAGGAAGCCCGGGCAGAGGCUGCUGUCUCUGCCCAGCUGGGAAACUGUGGGGGUGGCAGUGCCGGGCCUGGGGCAGACAGGGAGGCUUCCAUUGGGGCGGUCCUCGGGCCCCGGGGCUGUGCGCAGCGCCUUGAAUCCGUGGGCUCAGCGUACCCCCUGCAGGAGCCGUGGAGCAGCCCCUGAAGCAACCAGAGGGGCCCGUGAUGGUGUUGUGUUGGGGAAUCCAGAAGCUGUGCUUUCAUAACUCAGACAUGCUGCGUGGUGUCUGAAAGUCAUUUCAUUAAAUGUCGCAUGGAAUCAAAAUAGAAAUUACAUCUUUGGGACAAAGCCCAUUGAGCCAGGAGCCAGGCAUUCUGAAUUGGACCCAGAAUAGUCUCACGGAAGCUGGGACCGUGGAUCCAAGGCAACCCUUGUCGACACGGCCAGCCUCCCCCGCCCCCCCCCCCCCCCCCCCCCCCGGCUCACACUUGAAUCCCCAGAUGCGGCAUGUGGUCCUGGAGCCCAGUCGACUCGCAAGAAUCAAUGCGGCUGGGGUGGGGGGGUAGGCAGUGAUGACAGCCCCCCUUCAUCACAUUCCUAGGUGGCCAUGCCGAGCUGAAUCGUCAUGUAUAUUAUCCCUGAUCCCCACCUACUUCUGGGAGGUACACUUAUUAUAUUUGAGGAGGCUCAGGGAGGUCAAGGUAGGGGUCUGAGGUCGCAUAGCUGGCAAGAAGCUGGGUUUGAACUCCAGACCAGCUCCCACAGUCACUUCCUCUCCUGCAUCUCCCCUGUUGCUCUGGUUCUUGCAACUAGCUGACCAAAGUUGAGGGACAUGCCCAGAUGAAAGCUGGGGGAGGGGCUUGGGCCUUGGCAUGUUUGAGGCUCCCUGGCAAUCUUAACAUCGUGCUAGCUGGGGACCACUGCUCUGGGAAGGGGCACAAGUGGCCUUUGUAUCUGCCUUCCAUCCCAGCCUCUGCUGGGUGGUGUGUUCAUUCAGCCAGUGCAUGAGAAGGACCCUCUUCUGGAGGCCUGGUAGCCCACACCUUGCAGCCCUGAGUGCAUCCCCCGCCCUCGCCCCCCACCCCUGCCUCCAUGGGUGUGCUCAUCCCCCCACCCCUGCCCUUGUGUGUGCACUCAUCCCUCUACCCCUACGCCCAGGUGCAUGCUCAUCACCCCACACCCUGCCCCCGGGUGUGUGCUCAUCCCCCACCCCCAGGUUUGUGCACACCCCCCACCCCGCCCCCAGGUGUGUGCUCAUCACCGUCCUCCUGGUCCCCCCCUUCCCAGGUGGGCCAGGCUUGGAGGGCAGGAGAACUGGGGUGGGGUAGGGUGGAGCAGGCCCUGAGGGAGUGCCUGGUGAACCCAGAAGGGGAGGGAAGAGGACAGG